This 697-nucleotide ribosomal RNA is filed under the name Lactiplantibacillus plantarum. Its description in RNAcentral is "bacterial SSU rRNA". It matches the Rfam family "Bacterial small subunit ribosomal RNA", at positions 745 to 1442 of the family's 1533-position model. The record is from RNAcentral. Lineage: Bacteria; Bacillati; Bacillota; Bacilli; Lactobacillales; Lactobacillaceae.
GCUGAGGCUCGAAAGUAUGGGUAGCAAACAGGAUUAGAUACCCUGGUAGUCCAUACCGUAAACGAUGAAUGCUAAGUGUUGGAGGGUUUCCGCCCUUCAGUGCUGCAGCUAACGCAUUAAGCAUUCCGCCUGGGGAGUACGGCCGCAAGGCUGAAACUCAAAGGAAUUGACGGGGGCCCGCACAAGCGGUGGAGCAUGUGGUUUAAUUUGAAGCUACGCGAAGAACCUUACCAGGUCUUGACAUACUAUGCAAAUCUAAGAGAUUAGACGUUCCCUUCGGGGACAUGGAUACAGGUGGUGCAUGGUUGUCGUCAGCUCGUGUCGUGAGAUGUUGGGUUAAGUCCCGCAACGAGCGCAACCCUUAUUAUCAGUUGCCAGCAUUAAGUUGGGCACUCUGGUGAGACUGCCGGUGACAAACCGGAGGAAGGUGGGGAUGACGUCAAAUCAUCAUGCCCCUUAUGACCUGGGCUACACACGUGCUACAAUGGAUGGUACAACGAGUUGCGAACUCGCGAGAGUAAGCUAAUCUCUUAAAGCCAUUCUCAGUUCGGAUUGUAGGCUGCAACUCGCCUACAUGAAGUCGGAAUCGCUAGUAAUCGCGGAUCAGCAUGCCGCGGUGAAUACGUUCCCGGGCCUUGUACACACCGCCCGUCACACCAUGAGAGUUUGUAACACCCAAAGUCGGUGGGGUAACCUU